AAUGAACGCUGGCGGCAUGCCUAACACAUGCAAGUCGAACGAGACCUUCGGGUCUAGUGGCGCACGGGUGCGUAACGCGUGGGAAUCUGCCCUUGGGUUCGGAAUAACAGUGGGAAACUACUGCUAAUACCGAAUGAUGUCGUAAGACCAAAGAUUUAUCGCCCAGGGAUGAGCCCGCGUAGGAUUAGCUAGUUGGUGUAGGUAAAAGCGCACCAAGGCGACGAUCCUUAGCUGGCUGAGAGGAUGAUCAGCCACACUGGGACUGAGAC
This 269-nucleotide ribosomal RNA is filed under the name uncultured bacterium. RNAcentral's name for it is "partial 16S ribosomal RNA". It matches the Rfam family "Bacterial small subunit ribosomal RNA", at positions 29 to 325 of the family's 1533-position model. The record is from RNAcentral.